RNAcentral lists this ribosomal RNA (465 nucleotides) under uncultured bacterium. RNAcentral's name for it is "partial 16S ribosomal RNA". It matches the Rfam family "Bacterial small subunit ribosomal RNA", at positions 339 to 795 of the family's 1533-position model. The record is from RNAcentral.
CUACGGGGUGCUCCAGUGAGGAAUUUUGCGCAAUGGGGGAAACCCUGACGCAGCAACGCCGCGUGAGUGAAGAAGGCCUUUGGGUCGUAAAGCUCUGUCAACUGGGAAGAAGUUAGAAUCUAUUAAUAGUAGAUUUUAUUGACGGUACCAGUGGUGGAAGCGCCGGCUAACUCCGUGCCAGCAGCCGCGGUAACACGGGGGGCGCAAGCGUUAUUCGGAAUUAUUGGGCGUAAAGGGCGCGCAGGCGGUCUUGUCAGUCAGGUGUGAAAGCCCGGGGCUCAACCCUGGAAGUGCACUUGAAACAGCAAGACUUGAGUACGGGAGAGGAGAGAGGAAUUCCUGGUGUAGAGGUGAAAUUCGUAGAUAUCAGGAGGAACACCGAUGGCGAAGGCAUCUCUCUGGACCGAUACUGACGCUGAGGCGCGAAGGCGUGGGUAGCGAACGGGAUUAGAUACCCGCGUAGUC